Blastosporella zonata is the source of this 92-nucleotide non-coding RNA. The record is from the annotation of a GenBank genome assembly. NCBI's taxonomy places the organism in Eukaryota, Fungi, Basidiomycota, Agaricomycetes, Agaricales, Lyophyllaceae.
UCUUUGCUAGUAUAUCGGUUAGUACACGCGCCUGUCAUCUGGAUGCAUGCAUAGAUCCGCGCGAAAGCUGGGUUCGACUCCCAGGCAGAGAG